RNAcentral lists this ribosomal RNA (490 nucleotides) under uncultured bacterium. Its description in RNAcentral is "partial 16S ribosomal RNA". It matches the Rfam family "Bacterial small subunit ribosomal RNA", at positions 30 to 507 of the family's 1533-position model. The record is from RNAcentral.
AUUGAACGCUGGCGGCAGGCCUAACACAUGCAAGUCGAACGGUAACAGGAAACAGCUUGCUGUUUCGCUGACGAGUGGCGGACGGGUGAGUAAUGUCUGGGAAACUGCCUGAUGGAGGGGGAUAACUACUGGAAACGGUAGCUAAUACCGCAUAACGUCGCAAGACCAAAGAGGGGGACCUUCGGGCCUCUUGCCAUCGGAUGUGCCCAGAUGGGAUUAGCUAGUAGGUGGGGUAACGGCUCACCUAGGCGUCGAUCCCUAGCUGGUCUGAGAGGAUGACCAGCCACACUGGAACUGAGACACGGUCCAGACUCCUACGGGAGGCAGCAGUGGGGAAUAUUGCACAAUGGGCGCAAGCCUGAUGCAGCCAUGCCGCGUGUAUGAAGAAGGCCUUCGGGUUGUAAAGUACUUUCAGCGGGGAGGAAGGGAGUAAAGUUAAUACCUUUACUCAUUGACGUUACCCGCAGAAGAAGCACCGGCUAACUCCGUG